CCACAUUGGGACUGAGACACGGCCCAAACUCCUACGGGAGGCAGCAGUGGGGAAUAUUGCACAAUGGGGGAAACCCUGAUGCAGCGACGCCGCGUGAGCGAAGAAGUAUUUCGGUAUGUAAAGCUCUAUCAGCAGGGAAGAUAAUGACGGUACCUGACUAAGAAGCCCCGGCUAACUACGUGCCAGCAGCCGCGGUAAUACGUAGGGGGCAAGCGUUAUCCGGAUUUACUGGGUGUAAAGGGAGCGUAGACGGCAAGGCAAGUCUGAUGUGAAAACCCAGGGCUUAACCCUGGGACUGCAUUGGAAACUGUCUGGCUCGAGUGCCGGAGAGGUAAGCGGAAUUCCUAGUGUAGCGGUGAAAUGCGUAGAUAUUAGGAAGAACACCAGUGGCGAAGGCGGCUUACUGGACGGUAACUGACGUUGAGGCUCGAAAGCGUGGGGAGCAAACAGGAUUAGAUACCCUGGUAGUCCACGCCGUAAACGAUGAAAGCGAGGUGUUGGGGAGCAAAGCUCUUCGGUGCCGC
Molecule: ribosomal RNA, 524 nt
Filed under: uncultured bacterium
Lineage: Bacteria
Description: bacterial SSU rRNA
Rfam family: Bacterial small subunit ribosomal RNA
Source: RNAcentral